AUAUUUUGACAUUUUAAACUGAAUUCUACUUAUUUAUUUAAAAUAAGAUUGUCCAUCAUUCAAAAUUCACCCCUACCCGUGCUGCAAGUUCAGAUCUGCAGAUGUAUAAAAUUUAUUUCUUUGUUUUGUUAUUGAUGUUUCGCGGAAUUUUACUAUGUAUCAUUACUGAACAUAUAGAGAGUCCCGAGAGUUUUCGGAUGACGAAAGUACAGAGUUAUCUUUUCUUGGGCGAAGAGAUUGGGUUUCUGCAGCAGACAGCGGUUUUAAUGGGAUAAAAACACUUUUUACCGAGUUUAUUAGGUAUAUUUGAGUGUGAACGUGUUUUUUGACAACAUUUGCAACAUUGUGUGGGAGGAUUUGCGUAACUUUUGUCAAGUAAGUUGUUUUUUUGACAUUGUUUACAAAUCGUGUCCUACUUUCGAUUCUUCCCUUGUGUAUUAUUUAUAUUAUAGAGAGUGUAGAGCGGAUACGAUGCCCCUGUGGUUAAAAUGGACAAGAAGGUGCUGUUGUAAAAUGGGGAAUUGAGAAGCAUUAAUAGCCUCUACAACAAGGAGAUAAUGCAGGAACGAAGAACUCAUGUCAAGCAUUGACAGCAUACAAAGUCAAUGUUUCCGGGGAUUAGUUGCAUCCUCUGUUCGGUGAUUCGGGUGAAUGUUUUGACCAGCUUGACGAUGUGAACGCAAGAUUAAUAGAACAGACAUAAAGUACAGCCCAGUGAAAGGAACAAGUUCAUCACAAGAAGAAGAAUUUUAAUGCUACCACUGUCAAGAACUACUAAGUCUGCUGUAACCAUGAUGUGAUCAUAUGAGUGCUUCACCGGUCUGGACAAUGCUCGAAAAUCCCCCCAAAAGGCCUAUUUCCAUAAAUUAAGACUCAGGUUACAUCAACAACAGCCAAGGACACUCCUUAUUGAUUCGAAUGGACCAUCUCUACGACCCGACUAAACCUCUGCAGAACAAGACUUUUUAACUGUAAAGUAUUCUUAUUUCAAAAAACCUAUAAACUAUAAAAGUACUUUUUUUAUAUGAUCAAAUACCAGUAUAUUACAAUGUCUGUCUGUAAGCUAGAAUCUUAGAAAAUCACAUGGUUUUGAAUUAUUAAAUGAUUGAUUAGACCUUGCAGAUAUGAACUUUCAUUUUCUUAAAUAAUUUGUUAUAUUUGCAAAUUUUGCAUAAAAUAUUAGACUCCAUGUAACAUAUAUCCUCCCACCUCCAAGUUAAUAAGUGUUAACUACUUUUUUUUCCCAUUUUCUUUGUUUAAACAUUUAUUGAUAACUUAGUUUUUAUUUGCAGCAAUAUAUGAAAAAUUAAGAAACCAAUCUUAAAUGUAAAAACACUGCAUUAGGAGAUGAAUGGAUGGGUCAUGGAAAUGAUAAAAUACACCAAACAAUAUUCAAUUAUGUCGUAUAUGAAAAUAUAUAAAGACAACAUAUACCCCAUAUAUUACAAUUUUUAGGCGGAAGCGCCUAUUGCAAUUGCUUUCAUGACCCUCUACGUCAAAGGUCAAAUUCCUGCCCUUUUUCGUGGUAAAUCUAUCGGAUGUUAUUUAAACUAAUGGCACACAACUCUCUAUCCCCCCCCCUCCCACUGUUUGACCCCCGUUUAAACAUCGUUUUUGAUAAUAGAACUGUGGUAUGUCUCUAAAUUUUUACUUCAUCGUUUUUGUGAUCGGCUUUAAUAAUCCAUUGAAAAUGCCUAUAGCAAAGAUAGCAAGUGGAAGAUCCAGGAGUUUACGUUUUUGAUAGUACAGGAACGAACGAUAACUAUUGCGAUGGUAUGCGACAUAAACAAAGGAUAAGCACGGAGUCGGAUGCCUGUAGAUGAAAUUGCGAGGGAAAAAAAUAGUUCAAUUUGAAAUUGCGUGUUUAUGAGUAUAGAAGGAAAAAUUGAUAGGGAAACAUGCAGGUGAUGAAUGCUCUUUAAAAAAAACAACGGUAUGUAUUAAUCUAUUUAAAAAAGAUUAUUAGAAUGAUACCAUGCCUAUAAAUUAUUUGUAAACAUACCAACGUUUCGCGUAGUAAUCUCAGACAAUACUGCAUAAUUAUGCAGUGUAAAAUUUUUGUCAACAAACCCACGUUGAGAACAACUGGUGACUGUCCAUCUUCGACAUAGUAAGGUAAGUUAGGUAACUAAUGUGUUAUUUCUUUGGAACGCCAAAUUAACAAAUAUUCAAAUAUUUGUACCUAUCUUCAAAUAAUUGUACCUAUCUUCAAUUAAUUGUACCUAUCUUCAAAUCAUUUGAAGAUAGGUACAAUUGAAUUAAAGAUAGGUACAAUUGAAUUGAAGAUAGGUGUAAAUAAUUAUACCUAUCUCUAAAUAAUUAUACCUGGGUACAGAUGAAUUAUACCUAGGUACAAAUGAAUUAUACCUAUCUUCAAUUCAAUUAAAGAUAGGUUCAAUUGAAUUAUACCUAUCUCUAAUUCAUUUGAAGAUAGGUAAAAUUCAUUUAAAGAUAGGUACAAUUGAUUUGAAGAUAGGUUCAAUUCAGACAUAUCUACAAAGGAUUUGAAGAUAGGUACAAUUCAAUUAUACCUAGGUUCAAUUCGUUUUGUGCAUUGUUGAAAAUAAUGAACGCUCCCUUGAAGACAUUUCAACAUGGAGGGAAACGAGCAACCAACGAAGAUGAAAGAAGAAAUAUAUAUGUGUAUGCAAUAUAUUUGCAAAAGGCAUCAUUAUUUAUUAAAACAUGUAUACCCGAAUACCCCAAAAGUGACGGAGUUUGGGUAGUGACGUAGUUAGGGUCACUAUAUAUACCUAUAUAAAUAAAAAACUGGAUUUAUUUUUUUUCCAUAAUUUUAUCAAAGAAUGUAUAAUUCAGUUGAUAAUCACUCUAUUUAUUAUUUAAAAGCGGUAACAAUUAUUAUGAGUUUUUGUUUGUUUUAAGGCUCAAUCUUUCAAAAAGUUGACAAAAUCAUAAUUAUAUAUUGCCUAUUUUAUCAUCCCGAUCCCGAUUUUAUUUCUAUGUCGCCUUUCUUCAAUCUUUUUUUUUCAUUUUCAUUAUUUAUAAAUAUAUGAAGGUGUUAAGCAGUAAUGUCACCUCUGAUUUUUCUUUUAUAGAUCUUUAGGACAUCCAUUUUUUAUUAUUAUCUUGUAUAUCGAAUGACUUUAUUCAUAAGUUGUGACGUAACGGAAAUGACGUACUACAUGUAUACAGGGAGUAUUCAUUAUUGCCAAUAUUUUAGUAAUUGAAGAUAGGUUCAAUUCAAUUGUACCUAUCUUUAAUUCAAUUGUACCUAUCUUCAAUUCAUUGCAUUUGUACCUAUCUUCAAAUCAAUUGUACCUAUCUUCAAAUGAAUUAAAGAUAGGUAUAAUUGAAUUGUACCUAUCUCUAAUUCAAUUUGAAGAUAGGUACAAUUGAAUUGAAGAUAGGUACAAUUGAAUUGAAGAUAGGUACAAUUGAAUUGAAGAUAGGUACAAUUAUUUGAAGAUAGGUACAAAUAUUUGAAUAUAUGUUAAUGUAACCAGGUAUAUAAUUUGUAUAUUAGAUUACAGCGCUAGCGUGUUUGAUUGGUAUACGUGUUUAGAGUGUAUGAUUGUAUGAGAGUUUAAUAUAUGUAACGUGGACAAUGACAAGACUGGACAAUAGGGUCACAUGACUAACUCUGCAUGCACCCUUCCCCGCCAAAAUCUUAUACCGGAAUGGCACUCUCCGCCUAGCCCUUGAACGGGUCAGAACUAUAGCUGUAUUUCAAUAUACUUAAGCAUAAGGAUUGUUUGUCCCGGUAAGACUUAAUGUAAUAAAUUAAAGUCAUUCUAAAUUGUAAUAUAACUGUUUCAUUUCGUUGUCUAAUGUGUAUGUUUGUCUGUGUCUAAUUGUCUUGUCAUUUGUGUCUAUUCUGUGUUAUUUGUUUAAUUACGAAAUUUCAGGUUUAUUAUGUAUUAAUAAAUAUAAAACAACGACCCAAGCUUGGCUUAUUUCGACCACUGGCUACAAAUGGCGCCCACGUAAUUUUCCAACGGACCGGGACAACAUCCAUUCCAUUUUACUUCAAUCCUCGGGGGACGGCUUAUCAAGUCCUGCACGAGCGGCAGCUGAAUAACAAGGACCGUGGCAGAAGCGGUAUCCAUAAAUACGACACCCUGCAUAGACCCAAAGAAGAGGUGAUUCUGUGUAUGUGUGUGUGUAAAUUAUUAUAUUAUAGAUAGUGGAGGAAAAGUGAGAGUUCUCUUUGCGUCAAGUAUUUCUGGUGAUGACGGGAACACGCACGGAUCUGGAGGCGCGGUAAUCUACGUCACUCAUUACUUGGUGAUUCCAUGGCGGGAAGACGCACGGAUCUCGAGGCGCGGUAAACCACGUGGCUGAUUCCUUCGAUACGCGAGGAAAUUCGAAAGCGACGAGGCCUCAGGACCGACAGGAGUCAGGUACUUUCAUUCUGAAAAUCAGUGUUUGUGUCUGUGAUUUGUCUAUUAUAUGUCAACUGUCUUGUCUUGAUUGUCAUUCGUUUGUGUUGUCAAAGUCUAUCUGUGUACGACUUAACAUUCUUAUUAGCGGGAAUUCCCAGGUUUAGUUUUAGAACUUCCGGAAACUAUAAACAGCUGAUCAUUUUGUUUGAAGUUUGUUUAUUUAUCAAAUCCUGUUAGAAUUAACACUAUUUCAUUUAGAAAUUGUUUAGUUUUUUUGUUAAAGAAAAGGAUCCUAUUAAUCUAUCAAUCUAUUUAUUUAUUUUAAAGGUUUAAAACUUUUGUUGACAUACAUAGGCCUAUAUCUGCAGAUCAAAUUUUUUCUUUUCUAAUUUUUUUUUCAUUGUGUUUACCUGGACUUGUUAAACUUUUGAUGUGUCUCAAUUGAAGUAAACUUUAGUAAAGAUAAACAUUCAUUUGCCCUUUAAACAAUUCCCCUUGCAUGACAUUCUAACAAUCACACAGAUUUGAGAAUUUUGACAGACAUUGAGCAGUUGAGGUUGUACACAAGUAUUAUUUUGUUUGAAUGUCUGUGUGUGCGUGAAUUAUUUCAUUGAAUAUUUCUAUUAUUGACGUGAAACAUGCGCUGCGUUUUAAUUAAGUGAUAUUAAUUGCCUUGAAUUGAACAGUGCUUUAAGAUAUUUUGAAUAAGAGAUAUACAUUUACGUGACUGGAACAUUGUGGUGAAAUUUUGUUGGUUUCACGGUGUAUUUGUUGGACAGGUGUUUAGUGUUGUCAGUUGUAAGAUGUCAAAAGUGGCUGAUCAAAUUAAAAUGUCAUUCGAAAAUGCUAAAGAUCAGGAAGGUGAUCAUGAAGGUUCUUUUCAUGAUGAAGACUACAAAUUAAACUUUGCAGGUUAUGUAAAUCCAAAUGCUAAAGUUGAAUCUGAAAUGCAGAAAACAAGUACCCCUGCAUCUGGUAAAGAACAAAACCCCUUGAACUUUCCCAAUGUUAAGACAACUCUGCCUAAAAUUAAAUUUCCACCUCCUCCAGUUAUCCCUUCUGACAUGAGAAAAGGUGAAUCAGUGGGAGGGGCUAAGUUUAAGACUUUUAAUGAUUUCCCCCCUCAGAGAGAUUACAGUGCUUACAAAGCAAGUCCAGAAGGUAAUGUUACUCAGUAUUAUAAAGUUACUCAUGCCCAGAUACCUAGAAUUCCCCAAUUUUCUGGUGAUGGUACUUAUAGAGAGUGGAAGUAUGAAGUACAAUGUCUUAUCAAUGACCCUGAGAUUAAAGAAACCACAAUCAUUCAGAGCAUUAGAAGAUCUCUUAGGGGUACAGCUAAAACUAUGCUCAUUCCUCUUGGUGAAAAAGCUACUGUCAUUGAAAUUCUAGACAAACUGAAAUUAGCAAUAUUGAGACCAAUACUAAUCAUGAGUUUUCUUCAUUUCAGAACUUCAGUGUUCCAGAACCUACCGGUACCUUGAAUCGGACAAUUAUUGAUAAUGAAAUCGAUGAAACGACAAGGUCAUCGGGUCGAGUAGAUGAUACCACUGUUGAACAGAGUACUAGGUUAUCAAACCGCAACUCUCGCGUUUUUCCGCGACGAACUGCCAGAAUUCGAAAGCCUCCUGAUCGCUAUGGAGACUGGACUAGGUAGUGUUUUUAUCCCGUAAACUGCUUUUAUGCUUCAUGAUUUUAUGAUGCAGUUUUCAGGUUUUUUAAAUUCAAUUCACUUAUCAUAUUUUAUGCCAACUCUCAGGGUAGAAAAAAAAUAUACCAUUAUAAAAAAGAAAAAAACAAGUUCCCUGAUUUUAAAAUUAAUCACUAUUAUUUUCUGAACUAUUUGAUGUGGAUGACUCUUAGUUUUUAAUGCCCUUGUUUUCUUAAUUUUAAGGGUCCCCAAUUUGCAUUUGUGUGUCAUGAUAUGAUGAUUAUCACCCAUUUAUUGUGUUGUUGGUCCUGCUCUGAUAUUAGUUGUAAAACUGUAGUAUUAGUGUUGUUGUGGGAUUUACAAUAUCUGAAGAGAAAGUUAUCUUCCUUGGGAGAUUCUAGUGUGUUCAGGGUGGUAAAUUGUUAUUUUGAUCUCGUGUUCAGUGUUUUUGAUGUUUCACCUUUGUGAUCAGACUGACUGAGGCAGCUGAAUCAUUUGGUGACAUGUGUAUUGGCUUAAUUUUGCAGAAUUUGAGUUUUCAUUGUUGUAUUGUUUUGCUAUAUUCUAUUAUGUUGAAAUUAUGUUGUUUUAUUUUAGUGUUAAAUCAUAUUUCCUCUUCAUGCACAAUGCAUUUGAGUUUAAUUUCGUGAAAUGUCAGGAGCCAUUUCAAUGAAGAGGGGGAAUAUGUAACCAGAUGAAUGUCAAGAAACUGAUUAACAUUAACUGACAAGAGGAGAAAAUGAGAGCCCAACAUCAUUCUUCAUCUCUGGUGAAGGGGAGAGUUUGGGCGCACAGCAAAACUCAAGCAAAACAAAGAAAAAGACGG
This is a long non-coding RNA of Magallana angulata, 6817 nucleotides long. RefSeq lists it as uncharacterized. The transcript is spliced from 4 exons. The record is from RefSeq and is a predicted model, not a curated record. Lineage: Eukaryota; Metazoa; Mollusca; Bivalvia; Ostreida; Ostreidae.